Molecule: ribosomal RNA, 465 nt
Filed under: Vreelandella stevensii
Lineage: Bacteria; Pseudomonadati; Pseudomonadota; Gammaproteobacteria; Oceanospirillales; Halomonadaceae
Description: partial 16S ribosomal RNA
Rfam family: Bacterial small subunit ribosomal RNA
Source: RNAcentral
CCUACGGGCGGCAGCAGUGGGGAAUAUUGGACAAUGGGGGGAACCCUGAUCCAGCCAUGCCGCGUGUGUGAAGAAGGCCCUCGGGUUGUAAAGCACUUUCAGUGAGGAAGAACGCCUGGUGGUUAAUACCCAUCAGGAAAGACAUCACUCACAGAAGAAGCACCGGCUAACUCCGUGCCAGCAGCCGCGGUAAUACAGAGGGUGCGAGCGUUAAUCGGAAUUACUGGGCGUAAAGCGCGCGUAGGUGGCUUGAUAAGCCGGUUGUGAAAGCCCCGGGCUCAACCUGGGAACGGCAUCCGGAACUGUCAAGCUAGAGUGCAGGAGAGGAAGGUAGAAUUCCCGGUGUAGCGGUGAAAUGCGUAGAGAUCGGGAGGAAUACCAGUGGCGAAGGCGGCCUUCUGGACUGACACUGACACUGAGGUGCGAAAGCGUGGGUAGCAAACAGGAUUAGAUACCCUGGUAGUC